Dromaius novaehollandiae (emu) is the source of this 6133-nucleotide long non-coding RNA. RefSeq lists it as uncharacterized. The transcript has 4 exons. NCBI's taxonomy places the organism in Eukaryota, Metazoa, Chordata, Aves, Casuariiformes, Dromaiidae. The record is from RefSeq and is a predicted model, not a curated record.
ACACAAGGCAAUCUAAUAGGAUGAUUCAAAGGCAAGACCAUCAAAUAUACAGGAUGUUUUAUUACAGAAUACUGAAGUGGCUGUGUUAAUGCAGCCAUGCUGAUUUAAAGGUAUAAGCAAACCAAGGUUCACAGAGACUUAAUACUUUCUUUUGUCCACUCACACAACUGGGAAACCAGGCAAGCUUUCAUACAACCAAGAUCUUCUUCAAACCAGAAGAAACCAUAAACUUCAAGCCACAACUUUACAGCUUCUCUUUCAUAUCCAGAAAAAGAUUUGUGUUUCGAAGAGCAAGUCUGCAUUUUUCCGACUACAUCAGCUGGGUCACUAAAAGAGCUCUUCAUCCGAAACAGACCUUAGCUGCAGCUCCUGGAAAUAAUGUGCUUCCCCAGGCUUUGCCUAUUGAUGAUUCACAGGUCUACAGCACAGUUCCCUGCAGCUGAAGGAGACUGAUAAGUAUCUGUCCGAAGAUUUUUUAAAUACUCUGGCAAAAGUUUGCUGACAGUUUAAACUGACCUCAAGGGAACUGCAUCAGCAAAAAACCUUAACCUUGGAAAUUUGGAAACUGCUGUUGAAUAAGUCCUCCUUUACGGCUAAUCCAAAACACCUGAGCUUCCUUCACAGAAAACUAGAUGCUGUGCCUGACUAGUAUCACCUGCCACAGGAGGGAACCCUGCAGAACCCUGUGGGCUCUAGGGCACAUUAAGCAGCUCCAUUGAAGUCAUAACAGUAAGCAUAUGCUUAAAUGCUUUUUCGGAAUUGUCCUGGAAAGGUCAGUACUUUGGAAGAUCAAGUCCAGAGUAUUUCAGUAUACACCGCUCAGGAGACGUGGGACAGCUGGUGGUGCACUUUCUGCGGAGAGCUUGGGUGAAGAUGGAAGGCAAGCCAUCUCCUUAACCUGCUUGCCAGAAACACAGAGGCAGAGAUACUAUUGUCAAUGCCACCAUUGCAGUGGUGGGAAGGGCCUCCAAACUGUGAUCUGGCCCUUAAAAUGAUCUCCUUCAGCCAACAAUGCUCCCUGUCCUAUCCAUCAAUCAGUAAGCCAAAAUGCUUGAUCCUGGGAAGAGUGCAAGAGGCCAAAUUCUGAGGAGGCCAAGAUGAGGUGGAUUAAAAACUGGCUGAACUGUUGGGCUCAGAGGGUUGUGAUUAACAGCAUAAAGUCCAGCUGGAGGCCAGUCACUAGUGGUAUCCCCCAGGGGUCAAUACUGUGGCCAAUACUGUUUAACAUCAUUAAUGACCUGGACAGAGUAUACCUUCAGCACAUUUGCUCAUGAUACAAAACUGGGAGGAGUGGCUGAUACAGCAGUUUGUUGCUUUGCCCUUCAGAGGGUCCCUGACAGACUGGAGAAAUGGGCAGAGAGAAACAUCAUGAAGUUCAAUAAAGAGCAGUGCAGAGUCCUGCCCCUGAGAAGGAAUAACCCUAUGCACCAAUACAGGGUGGAGCCAGCCUGCUGGAGAGUAGCUUCAUAGAGAAGAUCAUGGGGGUCCUGGUGGACAUUGAGUUGAACGUGAGCCAGCGAUGGGCCCUGUGGCAAAGAAGGUCAAAGGCAUCCUUGGCUGCAUUAGGAUUCCAGCAGGUGAAUGGAGGAGAUCCUUCCCCUCUACUCAGCACUGGUGAGGCCAUGUCUGGAGUGCCGUGUCAAAUUCUGGGCUCCCCAUAAAAGAAAGACAUAAAUUUACUGGAGCAAGUCCAGUGAAGGGCCACAAAGAUGACUAAGGAACUGGAGCAUCUCUCAUAUUGAAGAGAGGGUGAGAGAGCUGCAGCCAUUCAGCCUGGAGAAGAGAAGCCUGAGAGGGAUCUUAUUAAUGUGUAUAAAUACCUAAUGGGAGGAUGUGAAGAGGAUGGGGCCAGACUCUUCUCAGUGGUGCCCAGUGACAGGCUGAGAGGCAAUGGGCACAAACUGAAACACAGGAAAUUCCAUAUGAACAUAAGAAAACACUCUACUGGAAAGGUGGUUGAAUGCUGGAACAGGUUGCCCAGAGAGCUGUGGAGUCUCCAUUCUUGUAGAUAUUCAAAACCUGACUGGACAGGGUCCUGGAAAGCCUGCUCUAGCUGACCAUGCUUGAGCAGGGGUUUAGACCAGAUGAUCUGCAGACGUCGCUUCCAACCCCAACUAUUCUGUGAUUUGUGAUUUUAUGAAGAUCUGCUUUUAUUUUCUCUCAAAGAGUUCCGGAGAAGUUAGGGUAGACUUUUGCUAGCCAAGUACUGCAGUAUUGAACAUAGUAUGUAUAAUAUCAAUAUGCUGCCGUAGUCCAUUGAUUUAAGACAUCUUUAUGGGUCAGGCAGAGUGGAGAAUCUCUCUCUUCUCAUAUUCACUGCUAUAAUCAUGUAAUGGGAGACAAAGGCCAGAAGUGUCUAAUUCUAAUACAGAUGUUUACAAUAAAUCAUAUGAAUUGCCCCAGACAGAUUUUUCCCUCGUUAGCUAUAAAGAAUAACAUAGCAUUGACAAAACCUUUUCCCCAUUUCACCCCAAAUCUGCUACUAUAGUAUGUUAAAUUAUAUGCUGGAGAAGAAUGAAUUAAGUAAUGGUAACUUGAUUUAAAAUUCAAACUAUGCUGCUUUUCUAUACUAGCAAUAGUCACAGGAGCAAACAAUGAUUUCCCAGUGUUACUGACUUUGAGUAGUAGCUUGAAUAGACUUAUUGAUAUAAACGGGAUCAAUCAUGCAAUAUGGUAUGAAUUGUCUUAUGAUCAGGUAUUACAUUAGGUUACUCAUAAAAUAUUGCUCAGUUAUAGCUAAGAAUAAGAUACUAGUAUUCAUUUUUGCUGGUUUAGUCACCCUUUUAGGAGGAAUGACCCUCUGAAUCAAGCUUCUGCUGAAGUAAGGGCGGUCAUUAAGCUAAAGAUGGUUUUCCCAUAUGCCCAGAGGUAAUCUUAGGUUUUGAAUUACAAAUUCGGAUCUCCUUGGGAGAAACUAACUUUUUAAAAUAGUAUUUAAACAUAAAGGAGAACAGGCAGACUCCCUAGCUCACCCACUUGAGUCGGUCACAAAAGAUCUUCCGCUUGCUGGAAGACAAGGAUUGCACCCAGGUUUUUCACAGACUCAUCGAGUGCCCUUAUCACCAAACUGCUCGCUGUUGCUUGCAGCUCUUGCUCACAGCAAAUUUCGUUACAAACUGUUUUGUUUCUAAGAACUAUUUGUCUAAGAAACAGACAGUGUUUUUCAACAGAAAAUUAAUUAGCACAAUUUUUGGAACCUGCUCUAGUAAAGCUUAACAGUUCGUCAAGCUACAGGCUUCCAUUCUGAUCCCAGAUAUUAAGCCAGUCAGACAAAAGGCUUGAAAUCUGAUCAGAAGGCGUUUUGCUCAAAUUUCAGCUUUGUCUGACUAGUUCACUGAAGCAAUAGGUGUGGGUGUAAGUAUCCCCGUUCUGGGGGCAUGGCCCAUGUGGUACAGGGGGAUACAGUACAUCGCAUAUGCUCAUAAAGCCAAGAUAAUGUUUCAUUGUCUUUCAAGGAGUCCAAUUACAAAAAGCUGAGGAAACAACUCUGUUAUUCUUAUUUCUCUACAAGAUACCAGAAGAUAGGCUUGCCAAAGUCUUCAAAUAUAUCCUUAAAUCCAGAUGAAUUGAAUAGGCAGAAGCAGGUGUAUGAGAAUUUCAUUGAAUCAGAACUGCUAAAGCAGUAUAUUUAGAACAGACAAUAUUUGCAAUAUACAAAGAUUUAUUUUUCUAAAAUGACUGUUUCCACCAAAAGAUAAACAAUGUCUCUACACAGUCUGUAACAUGAUUUAUUAAAUACUGAGAAUAUUCCCCAGCAGAGCUUAUUGCACUGCACAGGAAAACAAGGAAAUGCAGAGACAUUGUUAUAAAAAUCCCAUUUGGAAAGAAUGCUUUAAAAUGAACACCUCAUUAAACCAAAAUGUCAGAAAUACUUACACUAAAAGGAAGAAGCCAUUACAUUUGUCUCAGAGACAUUACUAAUAACACUUUUACUGAGGCUUUUAGUAUUUUUUGCUUUCCCAUACCUAAGCAAAACACAAAACCUCUAACCUUCACAGUUCCCUCUGUCACAUAGAGCAUUGCAUGAAAAAAACGCAUUAACAAAGCAUUAACAAAGAUUAGAGCUAUUGGCCCAAACAAUACACACAUUUGUGGUGUCACUUGGAGUAGUGCUUCUUUUCAGUUUUUAGAGUAGGAGAGACAAUAAGGAAAUAUGCUUUACUGCCCCACAUUCAUCCAAAAAGAUAAUAACGGUAUUAAUUUUUGAUUGGCAGCCAUAAUUGGCCUGGAUCAUUGUUGGGAACAUGAUAAAGAUUCAGGAGUAUGAAAUCAACCUGCAUGAGGACAAAGCCAGAGCUUUUGUGAGUACGGGGGACGUUCUCCUGUGGACAACCUGGCAAUGAAUUCCAAUAACAUACGUUGAAAUGGGAAGGUGCAAUGGUAACCAACUGUCCCUUCAAACUCGGAAUGAACCACAAUAAUAGCAACCUCUAAAUAUGAGUUUGGCGAGGCCCUGGAAGAAAUGUCACAUACUAGAUAGGCUCAGAUGUGCUUUGACUGGAAGAGCGCUUCCAGCUUAGCACCACUAAACCCUGCUACAUUUGGGAAGCAGACGGGGAUAAACAGUCUGCCACUACCAUCUGGAACUGAACCCUUGAAUGAACAUAGGACUGCUACAGUGCGGUCACAGGGGAUAUGACCCCAUUGGUCAUGGGACCCAUAUGGGAUUGUUCAGAAAGUCUGCAGUCCACUUUCUAUGAUGCAAUUUUUGUACCUCUGGUUUCUCUGAAAGUGUCUAAAAUUGACCGGGCAGUGCCUUCUGAUCUUUUAACAACUUGGUAAUACAGUGUUACCAGCUGUGUAUAGCUAUAUUUGGAGUUUUCAUCACUGUGUUUCAAAGUUAAAAUAAUAAUAAUAAUAAUAAUAACCUCAACUACCCUCAGUAAACUGGUUUUCCUAGACAUGGAAUUUUCUUGACAAAUAUUUUUGAUGGAAGCAACACUUUUGUGCAGCAAGAUAGGAGAAUAAGCAAAAAUGGUCUUACUGCUUUGGCAGGAUGCCUGUCUGAUCCCUUCUCUUGCUUGGACAGCAACAGCCGAUAAAACAAGACUGCGAGUGCCACCAGCGUGCAUCCCCAGGGGCCCUGGCUUUGCUGGGCAGCACAGCCAGAAUGUGUAUGUGUGUGUGUGUGUGUGUGUGUGUGUGCGCGCGCGCGCACGCACAUGCGUGCAUGACUAGCUCUUUUUAGGACCAGAUAUAUAGGUGUGUUUAGAAAUUUAUAGGUGCUUAUUAACAUUUCUAAGUGUCUAGUAUUGUAUUUAUUUGUGGUAUUGUGUUUGUUCUGUUGUAUUGUCAAUAUUAAUCCUGAAUGUACAGUUCACUCAUUUUCAGUUAAUUAUGUGUUGCUAAUAAAUCAAUAAACUGCUUCAGUCCUCACUUGAUUUUAACUGUAUGAAUUAAGCAGUUUUUUUCCCCAUGAAAAAACUUUGUUGCCUUCCCUAGAGCAAUGGAGCAGGUAGCCAUGUAAGAUAGUGUGGAAUGGUCCAUGUCAGAAGGCAUCCUUGUCUUUCCUUGUCAUUCUUGAUAAUUCACAAUUAGCUUGUCCCAGUACUGCGUGUUGUACCCUGAAUGCGCGUCUUCAUGUCGUUUGACCUGUGCACAGUGCAGCCAGGAAACCAGGGCUCCUGUAAGAAAGACAGAUUACAUAUGGAAGUACCUCUUCUUGGCCAAGAAAUGGCUUGCACUGAAUUUGUUGUUCUCCACAGCUUGCAGGGUUGAUGCAUGGAAGAUCUGCACUUCCAUAAUCUUAGCGUUAUGGAGCUGUGACAAAUACCACCAUACGAAAGUAGGGCAAAUUAGAAUAUGCUGCAGAGCAUCAGUUCAUAGGCAGGCAUAGUCUGUUGCUGCCAUCCUGUUUCACAACGUGCAGAGAAAAAUCCCGGAGCAGGGCAGUACACAUGGCCACCAAGAGCAUCUGAACACAUUGAUGCCUGGCUAGCUCCUUGAGGGUAGAAAGGGAAUGGAGUACUAAAAGUCAGGAAAAAAUGGAAGAAAACACACUCAAAAGCUAGUUAUUCUAUGAAUCUCAUAGCCUUUUUGAAGUGAGCAAACAAUUUCAGAAAGCUCGUGCAGCAUGUUAACUUCUCUUGUUUUUCCAGAUUUUCUGGUGAUGCCGUAGAAGCCCAUUUUCUAU